GACGAACGCUGGCGGCGUGCCUAAUACAUGCAAGUCGAGCGGACGGAUGGGAGCUUGCUCCCAGACCGUCAGCGGCGGACGGGUGAGUAACACGUGGGCAACCUGCCUGUAAGACUGGGAUAACUCCGGGAAACCGGGGCUAAUACCGGAUAACUCUUUCCCUCACAUGAGGGAAAGCUGAAAGAUGGCAUCUCGCUAUCACUUACAGAUGGGCCCGCGGCGCAUUAGCUAGUUGGUGAGGUAACGGCUCACCAAGGCGACGAUGCGUAGCCGACCUGAGAGGGUGAUCGGCCACACUGGGACUGAGACACGGCCCAGACUCCUACGGGGGGCAGCAGUAGGGAAUCUUCCGCAAUGGACGAAAGUCUGACGGAGCAACGCCGCGUGAGUGAUGAAGGUUUUCGGAUCGUAAAACUCUGUUGUCAGGGAAGAACAAGUACCGGAGUAACUGCCGGUACCUUGACGGUACCUGACCAGAAAGCCACGGCUAACUACGUG
Molecule: ribosomal RNA, 498 nt
Filed under: uncultured bacterium
Lineage: Bacteria
Description: partial 16S ribosomal RNA
Rfam family: Bacterial small subunit ribosomal RNA
Source: RNAcentral